Cricetulus griseus (Chinese hamster) is the source of this 87-nucleotide ribosomal RNA. The record is from Ensembl. Lineage: Eukaryota; Metazoa; Chordata; Mammalia; Rodentia; Cricetidae.
GUCGGUGGCCACUCCCCUCUGAAUGUGCCUGAUCUCAACUGAGCUCAGAAGCUAAGCAGGGUCGUUGGGUCUGGUUAGUCCCCUACA